This 305-nucleotide ribosomal RNA is filed under the name uncultured bacterium. RNAcentral describes it as "bacterial SSU rRNA". It matches the Rfam family "Bacterial small subunit ribosomal RNA", at positions 30 to 332 of the family's 1533-position model. The record is from RNAcentral.
AUUGAACGCUGGCGGCAUGCCUAACACAUGCAAGUCGAACGGUAACAGGCCCUUCGGGGCGCUGACGAGUGGCGGACGGGUGAGUAAUGCUUAGGAAUCUGCCUAGUAGUGGGGGAGUAACCCGGGAAACGUCGGCGUAAUACCGCAUACGUCCUACGGGAGAAAGCGGGGGACCGUUCGGCCGUCGCGCUAUUAGAUGAGCCUAAGUCCGAUUAGCUAGUUGGUAGGGUAACGGCCUACCAAGGCGACGANCGGUAGCUGGUCUGAGAGGACGACCAGCCACACUGGGACGUGAGACACGGCCC